This 169-nucleotide ribosomal RNA is filed under the name uncultured actinomycete. RNAcentral describes it as "partial 16S ribosomal RNA". It matches the Rfam family "Bacterial small subunit ribosomal RNA", at positions 756 to 924 of the family's 1533-position model. The record is from RNAcentral. Lineage: Bacteria; Bacillati; Actinomycetota; Actinomycetes; Actinomycetales.
AAAGCGUGGGGAGCGAACAGGAUUAGAUACCCUGGUAACCCACGCCGUAAACGUUGGGCGCUAGGUGUGGGGUUCUUCCACGGAUUCCGCGCCGUAGCUAACGCAUUAAGCGCCCCGCCUGGGGAGUACGGCCGCAAGGCUAAAACUCAAGGAAUUGACGGGGGCCCCG